GUGGUUUGACGAGUCAGUGUGCGCUCUUAUUUUAUGCCGCUUUUCAGUUGCAAUUACUGAUAGCAAGUUCGCUUGUAAUGUGGAGUCAAUAUGGUCUAGCGAGCUGUUGGGUACAUACUAUCAUUCUCAUUUGAGUUUUUUUGUGAAUAAGCUGUUUUAAAUUACGAAGAACAAAAAGCAACCUCACGGAAGAAGCAAGAAAAUUGGUUUUGCAAGAUGUGCCAAGAAGAUGUGGUAAAAGAUAUGGGAACGUACUCAGUAUAUAAGAACACGUGCACGAGGAGUGCGUGGGUCUCA
Long non-coding RNA from Zophobas morio, 297 nucleotides. RefSeq lists it as uncharacterized. Lineage: Eukaryota; Metazoa; Arthropoda; Insecta; Coleoptera; Tenebrionidae. The transcript is spliced from 3 exons. The record is from RefSeq and is a predicted model, not a curated record.